GACGAACGCUGGCGGCGUGCUUAACACAUGCAAGUCGAACGGAAAGGCCCUGCUUUUGUGGGGUGCUCGAGUGGCGAACGGGUGAGUAACACGUGAGUAACCUGCCCUUGACUUUGGGAUAACUUCAGGAAACUGGGGCUAAUACCGGAUAGGAGCUCCUGCUGCAUGGUGGGGGUUGGAAAGUUUCGGCGGUUGGGGAUGGACUCGCGGCUUAUCAGCUUGUUGGUGGGGUAGUGGCUUACCAAGGCUUUGACGGGUAGCCGGCCUGAGAGGGUGACCGGCCACAUUGGGACUGAGAGACGGCCCAGACUGCUACGGGAGGCAGCAGGGGGGAAUAUUGCACAAUGGGCGGAAGCGUGAUGCAGAAACGCCGCGUGCGGGAUGACGGCCUUCGGGUUGUAAACCGCUUUCGCCUGUAACGAAGCGUGAGUGACGGUAAUGGGUAAAGAAGCAACGGCUAACUACGUG
This 468-nucleotide ribosomal RNA is filed under the name uncultured bacterium. RNAcentral's name for it is "partial 16S ribosomal RNA". It matches the Rfam family "Bacterial small subunit ribosomal RNA", at positions 28 to 507 of the family's 1533-position model. The record is from RNAcentral.